AACGAACGCUGGCGGCAUGCCUAACACAUGCAAGUCGAACGAGAGCUUCGGCUCUAGUGGCGCACGGGUGCGUAACGCGUGGGAAUCUGCCCUUGGGUUCGGAAUAACAGUUGGAAACGACUGCUAAUACCGGAUGAAGUCGAUAAGACCAAAGAUUUAUCGCCCGAGGAUGAUCCCGCGUCGGAUUAGCUAGUUGGUGGGGUAAAGGCCUACCAAGGCGACGAUCCGUAGCUGGUCUGAGAGGAUGAUCAGCCACACUGGGACUGAGACACGGCCCAGACUCCUACGGGAGGCAGCAGUGGGGAAUAUUGGACAAUGGGCGCAAGCCUGAUCCAGCAAUGCCGCGUGAGUGAUGAAGGCCUUAGGGUUGUAAAGCUCUUUUACCCGGGAAGAUAAUGACUGUACCGGGAGAAUAAGCCCCGGCUAACUCCGUGCCAGCCGCCGCUGUAA
RNAcentral lists this ribosomal RNA (450 nucleotides) under uncultured bacterium. RNAcentral's name for it is "partial 16S ribosomal RNA". It matches the Rfam family "Bacterial small subunit ribosomal RNA", at positions 29 to 523 of the family's 1533-position model. The record is from RNAcentral.